GAUUGAAAUUUUAUUUUUUUGUCAAAUUUAGGCCUCAAUUUUUCAAUAUUCACCAAAAAUGGUUCCAUUUGCAAAAAUUACAAAUUUUAAGGAUGAAUUUUUGUUCUGUGUUUACCACUAAUUAGAUAGUUUAGUUUAGUAGUCAAAAGAUAUGAGACUCUUUUUCUUUUCAAACAAAAAUAUUUGGCAAAUGUGACUGUCCACAAAGGAAG
This 212-nucleotide long non-coding RNA is filed under the name Panax ginseng (ginseng). RNAcentral describes it as "long non-coding RNA (PGIN_LNC010009)". Lineage: Eukaryota; Viridiplantae; Streptophyta; Magnoliopsida; Apiales; Araliaceae. The record is from RNAcentral.